RNAcentral lists this ribosomal RNA (84 nucleotides) under Thalassiosira punctigera. RNAcentral describes it as "partial Eukaryotic small subunit ribosomal RNA". Lineage: Eukaryota; Bacillariophyta; Thalassiosirophyceae; Thalassiosirales; Thalassiosiraceae. The record is from RNAcentral.
CGGCUUCAAUAGCAUAUAAUAAAGUUGUUGCAGGCAAAAAGCUCAUAGUUGGAUUUCCGGCAGGAGUGACCGAAUAACGCACUC